GAUGAACGCUGGCGGCGUGCCUAAUACACGCAAGUCGAGCGAACGGACGAGAAGCUUGCUUUUCUGAUGUUAGCGGCGGACGGGUGAGUAACACGUGGAUAACCUACCUAUAAGACUGGGAUAACUUCGGGAAACCGGAGCUAAUACCGGAUAAUAUUUUGAACCGCAUGGUUCAAAAGUGAAAGACGGUCUUGCUGUCACUUAUAGAUGGAUCCGCGCUGCAUUAGCUAGUUGAUAAGGUAACGGCUUACCAAGGCAACGAUGCAUAGCCGACCUGAGAGGGUGAUCGGCCACACUGGAACUGAGACACGGUCCAGACUCCUACGGGAGGCAGCAGUAGGGAAUCUUCCGCAAUGGGCGAAAGCCUGACGGAGCAACGCCGCGUGAGCGAUGAAGGUCUUCGGAUCGUAAAACUCUGUUAUUAGGGAAGAACAUAUGUGUAAGUAACUGUGCACAUCUUGACGGUACCUAAUCAGAAAGCCACGGCUAACUACGUG
This 497-nucleotide ribosomal RNA is filed under the name uncultured bacterium. Its description in RNAcentral is "partial 16S ribosomal RNA". It matches the Rfam family "Bacterial small subunit ribosomal RNA", at positions 28 to 507 of the family's 1533-position model. The record is from RNAcentral.